This 3345-nucleotide long non-coding RNA is filed under the name Triticum aestivum (bread wheat). Its description in RNAcentral is "long non-coding RNA (TAES_LNC028034)". Lineage: Eukaryota; Viridiplantae; Streptophyta; Magnoliopsida; Poales; Poaceae. The record is from RNAcentral.
GCUCACCCCCGUCACUUUCUCGCUCACCACCGGCGUAGUAGUCAUCCUCGACGCCGUAAGGCACAAAUGGGCAUCCCGGCGGGAGUAGUCAUCCUUGACGUCGUCAGCUCUGUACAAGGCACCAAUCGUAUCUUCGACGGCCACAAGUUCUCCUACUAUGCCUCCGUCGCCUCCGCCAGCAUUGUUUGGCUGGCAAGGUCACGUCACCAGGGACUCCAUAUUCAUCGCCAAAGAAUUCCGACUUCAGGUGACCUCCCUGCUGCCGUUUGCUUUUGCCGCUGCCCUGCGUCGACGACUUUCAGUUGGCUGAUUACCGAUGUGAUUCUUCUGAAAACUCUGCAGGAACAGAGUAGCAUAGCGGGGCUAGCAGCGACAAGUAGCAACAGCAGGGACGAGCUCAGGAGGAAAAUCAGACCUCCUUUUGUUGAAUACAGAGCAAGCUAGAGAACAUACAAAAAUACAAAGCAAAGCUUCACCGAAGUGCACGAAUUGUUUAAUAAGUACGGUUGCUGCAAUGAAUUAACGACCUAGGAGCUGUUUGGUUACAACGAGGUAAUUCAUUAUUCAGGUUUGUUCACAAUUAUUUAAUUUUCACUGUUUUGGAUCCUGUACUAUGCACAAUAUAAUUUGUAGAAUGUUUUAUCUUUGCAAAUAAGGGAAAUAAUGAUCCAAAAUUGGAGAAGAUGGUGAAAACCAAAUGUUUAUGUGAUUUGAUAUGAUGUACUUAGUAAUUAACUUUCCCUACCUACAUCUUUUAAAAGUGUCUAUAUCAUGUUUUCGUCAGCUCCGGCAUCUUCAAGAGCUUUGUCAUGCCCUAUUAUUUUCAAUUUAGUCUGUGUCCGCAUCAACUGAAUUCGGUCGGUUCAAUUCAAUUCAUCAAUUUUUUGUAUAUUUGAUGCAUUAUUAACCAUAGCAACGCACGGGCAUUUAUUUGUGGGACUUGAUGCCGGAUAUAGACAAAUUGCAUGUUUUCUUAGGGCAUCUGCAAUUGAUGGACGCCAGGAUUUAUUUCCCGAUAGACCGGCAGUUGCGUUAGUUGUUCCCAGUGUGCCCGGUACCAAUAGAUGCAUUGAGCGCUUUCUCUUUUCCUGGGCACGCGAGUAAAGAAACGGGUAGCCGGGCCUACGUAUUUAGAGCUGCUGAUAAGCGCCUAGCAUUGAAUGAGAAGGCGCUUACUUUUUUCUUAAUUUUUUGAUGUUUAACUUUUUACUCUUAAGUGCCUACACAAGAGUCUAGCAUUGCAGAUGUCCUUAAGCUAUAGGCUAUCGUAGUGGUUUUACCAAUCACAAAUAAGCGACCAAUGAUGAAACAAUAGUACAAAUUUAGAGCACAAUACAUCAUGAUCUAUUGGAAAUUACAUGUUCCAUAUUUGACAUAUCAACCAGUCAAAGUGGCCAAACUUGAGCAUAUAGUUAAUCGAGCACGAAACAGUUCAUUGAGUGCGAGCUUUGUUGACAGCCCUACCGGUUGGAGGUAAACAAAUACCUUUCCCCCCUUUUUUCAUAAAAUCAAAUGCUUGUACUAAUGUUGAUUCCAUGCAUUUUCAUACAUUAUUCAACAUUUUUGUGCGUUAGUAAAAAAGCCACUCUUUUAAUUCACAUUAUUGAGCUAGGAAAAUGGACAGAAUUAUUCUUUUUGUCCCGUUGCAACGCACGGGCUCUUUUGCUAGUAUUUAACUAUAUAUAGAAGUAGUUCCCUUAUCGACGUCGACAAAAGGUGGCUGCGGUGACACAUCCGACAAAAGCAUAUGAGAGAUACUUCUUGAACGAUACAGAUGAGCUGAAAGAAACGAGUAAAUUAAUUGUUGGCCGAACUUAUUACAAGUACCAGAGGAGGUCUCGGGGAGAAUAAAAGCUUUCAUUACAUUGGCCCGACUUGUUACAAGUACACACGCUUACAUUUGUUUUGUUGAUUCUCAUCUAGGUCAUGUGUUUUGCUCAAAGAUGUCUUUUCAAGCCAUGUGUCAUAUAUUUUUAGUUUUUUACACGGAAAUUCAUGGAUAAUUUUAUGUGUCAUCGGCCCGUUUUGUUUAUUCUAACAAGCGAAGUUUAGCCGCCCGACAUGGUCGCCUAUCCUUUAAUUUCAAGUUAGCUUAGACAAACCCACCCUUUGAUAUGCAAUGUUUAAGCACCCAUCACCGCGAUGGACAACUAUAGUGGCGAGCCAAAUUUUGACAUGUGAGAAGAGAAGGUGUCACCUGUCAACAUCACCCAUCGUGGAGUGGUAUGACCACAACGGGCCAUGUUGCUCCUAUUCCUCACGUGGGUCGGUGAAUAGCAGGCAAACACACACCCUCUAUGAGAGUGCAUGCUAUAUGGCCAGCUCGUUCUUGUUUCGUCCCCAUCGGUUUUGGUUUCAAGAACCUUUCUCGAACCGGUUUUUUUCCUUUUUUCUAUGUUGUUUUCUAUUUGGUAUUUUUUCGCUUUUCGGUUAUUCUUUUCUAUUUCUAUUUGGUUUUUGUUUCCUUUUUAUUUUUGGUUUUCAUUUCAUGAGCAUUUCUUGAAAAAUGAAGUAUUUUUUGCAAUGGCGAACAUUUUUCAAAUAUGUGAAAGAUUUUUGAAAUUUUCAAAUAUUUAUAAAUUUCAUGAUAUUUUCUCGAAUUCAUGAUCAUUUUUUGAAACUUGGGAUCAUUUAAAAAAGUGAUGAAUAUUAUAGACAUACGAGAAUAAUUUUUCAAAUUAGUGACCAUGUUUUAGAAUUAGGGAACAAAUUUUCAAAUUCAUAAAUAUUUUCUGAAAUUUAGGAAUAUUUUCAACUUCAAGACCAUUUUAUGAAUUUCGGAACACUCUUUUUCAAAUUUGUUCACAGCUUUGCCAUUCGGAAUAAAAAUUCAAGUUCUUGAAUAUGUUUUGAAAUUCAAGUACAUUUUCUGAAUUUCUGAGAAUUUUUCGAAAUGCAGGAAUGUUUUUAUAAAAAAUAACUUUUUAAUAAUUGAAGGCAUUUUCAAAUUCAUCAACAUUUUUUUUUCCAAAUUUGAAUUAAUUUUCAAAUGUUGAACAUCAAAAUUCAAUAUAUUCUUAAAUUUCAUUAACAUUUUCAAAUUCGUGCACGUUUGAUGGUUAUUCUCAGACCCACACACUGUAUAGGAGCUCCCUAUGGGCCUCUAGUCAACCUUGCUGGAAAUUUUUAUUACGGCCUAGAAUGUCAUUGAUCACAGCUUUGGGCUGGAAUUUUCUACAUAAAGUCAGUCUUGACCAUGUGCGACAACGAUGGGCCCUAAAAGUGAAUGGUGUUUUUUUCGCAAGAUGAAGCAUCUCGAAGGAAUAUCCAUUGCAUGCGGACGGUCCGGUUCUUGUUGCAUACUCAAGUCAACACGAGGUCCGGUUCUUGUUGCAUACUCAAGUC